This 31-nucleotide non-coding RNA is filed under the name Homo sapiens (human). Lineage: Eukaryota; Metazoa; Chordata; Mammalia; Primates; Hominidae. The record is from RNAcentral.
UUUGCCUAGGAAUAAUAAGGCCUCUUGGUUC